ACGGGUGAGUAACACGUGGGUAACCUGCCCAUAAGACUGGGAUAACUCCGGGAAACCGGGGCUAAUACCGGAUAACAUUUUGAACCGCAUGGUUCGAAAUUGAAAGGCGGCUUCGGCUGUCACUUAUGGAUGGACCCGCGUCGCAUUAGCUAGUUGGUGAGGUAACGGCUCACCAAGGCAACGAUGCGUAGCCGACCUGAGAGGGUGAUCGGCCACACUGGGACUGAGACACGGCCCAGACUCCUACGGGAGGCAGCAGUAGGGAAUCUUCCGCAAUGGACGAAAGUCUGACGGAGCAACGCCGCGUGAGUGAUGAAGGCUUUCGGGUCGUAAAACUCUGUUGUUAGGGAAGAACAAGUGCUAGUUGAAUAAGCUGGCACCUUGACGGUACCUAACCAGAAAGCCACGGCUAACUACGUGCCAGCAGCCGCGGUAAUACGUAGGUGGCAAGCGUUAUCCGGAAUUAUUGGGCGUAAAGCGCGCGCAGGUGGUUUCUUAAGUCUGAUGUGAAAGCCCACGGCUCAACCGUGGAGGGUCAUUGGAAACUGGGAGACUUGAGUGCAGAAGAGGAAAGUGGAAUUCCAUGUGUAGCGGUGAAAUGCGUAGAGAUAUGGAGGAACACCAGUGGCGAAGGCGACUUUCUGGUCUGUAACUGACACUGAGGCGCGAAAGCGUGNGGAGCAAACAGGAUUAGAUACCCUGGUAGUCCACGCCGUAAACGAUGAGUGCUAAGUGUUAGAGGGUUUCCGCCCUUUAGUGCUGAAGUUAACGCAU
This 774-nucleotide ribosomal RNA is filed under the name Bacillus anthracis (anthrax bacterium). RNAcentral describes it as "bacterial SSU rRNA". It matches the Rfam family "Bacterial small subunit ribosomal RNA", at positions 102 to 860 of the family's 1533-position model. Lineage: Bacteria; Bacillati; Bacillota; Bacilli; Caryophanales; Bacillaceae. The record is from RNAcentral.